UGCAAAGCUGAUGCUCUUUUGGAGAGA
RNAcentral lists this non-coding RNA (27 nucleotides) under Homo sapiens (human). The record is from RNAcentral. Lineage: Eukaryota; Metazoa; Chordata; Mammalia; Primates; Hominidae.